RNAcentral lists this microRNA (21 nucleotides) under Taeniopygia guttata (zebra finch). Its description in RNAcentral is "tgu-miR-192". Its record names the gene tgu-miR-192. Lineage: Eukaryota; Metazoa; Chordata; Aves; Passeriformes; Estrildidae. The record is from miRBase by way of RNAcentral.
CUGACCUAUGAAUUAACAGAG